GAUGAACGCUGGCGGCGUGCCUAAUACAUGCAAGUCGAGCGAACAGACGCGGAGCUUGCUCCUUUCACGUUUGCGGCGGACGGGUGUGUAACACGUGGAUAACCCCCUUAUCUGUCUGGGAUCACUUCGGGAAACCGGCGAUUAUCCCGGAUAAUCUCCUGCACCGCAUGGUUCAUUGGUGAAAGUCGGCUUUUCUGUCUCUUCUCGAUGGUUCCGGGCUGCAUUAGCUAGUUGUUACGGUAACGGCUUAUCACGGGUACGAUGCGUAGCCGACCGGUCAGGGUGAUCGGCCGCAUGGGAGGUGGGACACGGUCCAGGGUCCUGCGAGAGGCAGCAGAAGGGAAUGGGCCGCAAUAGGCGAAAGCCUGACGGAGCGGCGGCGCGUGAGUGAUGGAGGUCUUCGGAUCGUAAAGCUCUGUUAUUGGGGAAGAACAAAUGUGGAAGUAAACAUGCACGGAGUGACGGUACCGGGUCAGAAAGCCACGGCUAACUACGUG
This 497-nucleotide ribosomal RNA is filed under the name uncultured bacterium. RNAcentral's name for it is "partial 16S ribosomal RNA". It matches the Rfam family "Bacterial small subunit ribosomal RNA", at positions 28 to 507 of the family's 1533-position model. The record is from RNAcentral.